AACGCACAUUGCGCCCCUUGGUAUUCCAUGGGGCAUGCCUGUUCGAGCGUCAUUUGUACCCUCAAGCUCUGCUUGGUGUUGGGUGUUUGUCCCGCUUCUGCGCGUGGACUCGCCUUAAAGCAAUUGGCAGCCGGCAUAUUGGCCUGGAGCGCAGCACAUUUUGCGCCUCUCGCCUUGAUUGUUGGCAUCCAUCAAGCCCAUUUAUUUGCUCUUGACCUCGGAUCAGGUAGGGAUACCCGCUGAACUUAA
Molecule: unclassified non-coding RNA, 249 nt
Filed under: uncultured Pyrenochaeta
Lineage: Eukaryota; Fungi; Ascomycota; Dothideomycetes; Pleosporales; Pleosporaceae
Description: partial contains 5.8S ribosomal RNA, internal transcribed spacer 2, and large subunit ribosomal RNA
Source: RNAcentral